GUCAACUCAACAUAAUUCAAAUUUCAAAGUCUUCACUUUUUACAAUAACAUAGUUGCCCAACAUAUAGUACAACUUCAUGCACGCUGAUGCCCUUUCUUUCUACAAAAAGUUAAUAUUGAAUACAAAGACCAAUUAUGCCACUUUUCUAUAAAUUUCAAAAACUUUGGUCAAUUUCUUUAAUUAUUACAACCUAACUAGCUAGUAUAUAAACUUCAGCUAGAAUUUUCAUUUCUUUAUGUUUUCUCUCUGCUCUCUAAAAUUUCUCAGAGAUAUUUUUCCAUAGACAUUUUGGCAUUCUGUCCACCUCCAUUAGUGGAAUUUGCACCCCCCAGAUUGUGAUAAUUGGAUUUGGGGGUGGCCAGUAUACCAAACGGGCUCUGUGAAUCUGUCUCUGAGAAAUGAGAGAUCAAUCAUGUAAUAUGAAUUAUUAUGGUUUUUUUUUUUACAUAGUGAAUUAUUAUGGUUAUAAUAACUUAUAAAUUAUAAUUUUUAUAUAUAAUUCUUCUCUUCUUUCAGCUCAUGCAUUUAAAUUAUCAUUGAUAUACAUAAUAUCCGAAUCUAAUGGAUCUUUUAACUUUUGCAGGUUCCUACUAUUGAGAAACAAAAUUCUUCCAUGAUAAUGAAAAUGUUUGAUUGAAUUAACCAACAUUUUUCUAAAAUGAUUUGAAAGUCCUAAGUUUUCCAAUUUUUUUCAACUAAUCUCAGAUUGAAGGUUUCAUUUUUUGUCUAAUGAUGGAGAAGUUGCACUUUUUUGCACAAGAAAGUACGAGGUGGUUUUUGUUUAUGGAAGCGUAUGUGGUGAAAAUAGGUGAGGUCUAGUUAGGUAUUGCAUAAAUAAGUUUGGUUUGUUGAAAAAAUUCAAACUCUAAUUCUAGUUUGUUAUCUGUUAUAGUUUAUUUUUUAGGUUUAAUUUGUUUCUUACAAUUUUAAAAGUAUGAUAUAGUAUCUGUAUGCCUUUCAAUUUAUUACUCCAAAUUCUUUUUUUUUUCGGUUCUUCUUCUUCGCGUUGUUGUGAUUUGAUAUAAGCUUAAAAAAGUGAUGGUUGAUGGUGCAUUUUAACCUACUCUGAAGUUUCUCCUUUGGCAUGGUCAUUCGUGAUAUGAACAACAAUUAUUGCCGCAAUUACUAUAGCAGUUUAGGUGUUGAAAAUGUUCUUUUUGUUCAAGUUUGGACUCUUGUACAUAAUGUUAGGGGUGUUUCAAAAUAUAGACUUAAAAAAGUUCUAUUUGAAAGUGACUCUAAACUUCUGAUUAACCAGGUCAGAUGUAUGUUCUCUACUUUACCGGAUCUCCUAUCUCUUUUGAAAGAUAUUCACUCUCUGCUUCAUUCCUGAUUGAAGUAUUUAUAUUUAUCAAAUCUUCUGUGAAAUGAAUUGUAAUGCGAAUUUCUUAUCAAAAGAAGGCAUGCAUGUCUCUUUGAA
Cicer arietinum (chickpea) is the source of this 1421-nucleotide non-coding RNA. Lineage: Eukaryota; Viridiplantae; Streptophyta; Magnoliopsida; Fabales; Fabaceae. The record is from RefSeq and is a predicted model, not a curated record.